GUCCACGCCGUAAACGAUGGGCACUAGGUGUAGGAGGUAUUGACCCCUUCUGUGCCGAAGCUAACGCAUUAAGUGCCCCGCCUGGGGGAGUACGGCCGCAAGGCUAAAACUCAAAGGAAUUGACGGGGGCCCGCACAAGCGGUGGAGCAUGUGGUUUAAUUCGACGCAACGCGAAGAACCUUACCUGGGUUUGACAUCCGCUGACAGUCCCGGAGACGGGAUCUUCCCCGCAAGGGGACAGCGAGACAGGUGCUGCAUGGCUGUCGU
This 267-nucleotide ribosomal RNA is filed under the name uncultured bacterium. Its description in RNAcentral is "partial 16S ribosomal RNA". It matches the Rfam family "Bacterial small subunit ribosomal RNA", at positions 793 to 1055 of the family's 1533-position model. The record is from RNAcentral.